This is a non-coding RNA of Cherax quadricarinatus, 1347 nucleotides long. Lineage: Eukaryota; Metazoa; Arthropoda; Malacostraca; Decapoda; Parastacidae. The record is from RefSeq and is a predicted model, not a curated record.
UUCUACUUACUACUGUUACGACUACUACCGCUACUAUUAUUUGUACAACCACUACUAACGUUACUAUUAUUUCUAAUAUUACGGCUACUACUACUGCUAAUGUUACUUCUACUAAUAAUGUUACUACGACUACUACUACUACUAGUACUACUACUGUUGUUACUAUUACUGGUACUACCACUAUUACAUUUACUUCUACUACUACUACUACUACUACUUGCCUCCUGACCUGUUUUCUGUUAUCCUCAACUAAUCUGUCCACUGACCUAGUAGUGGACGAGUGGAACAGUCUACCCAGUAGUGGAUGUUAGCACUGAUAAACACAUGUGUGAGAGUGGGAUAUAUUUAAGUGGGAUUUGCACAUGAGUGAGAGGUGAUGGAUUUAAGUGGAACUUGUACAUAAAUUAAUAAAGCUAUCAAAGUUUAUUCCCUGGGUAACAUUGAUAAUAUGUUGGGCGAAUAUUUUUGUUAGUGGGUUUGGGUUUGAGAAGGACUUGCCUAGUAUGGGCCAGUAGGCCUGCUGCAGUGUUCCUCCUCCCUUCUUAUCUUAACACAACACUGGUAAAGAAUUAGACACAUGUGCAACAUCUCUUAUAUAUAAUUCUCCAUUCUUCACAUCAUAUCCUUGUAUUGAUAAAGCCACUGGUGAGCGAAACGUCUACAUGUGUCUAAUUCACCAUGUUGUAUGUACUGUAUAUCAUUCAUGUAUAACACAUACACCACCUCAUACAAGCAGGCCUCCCUCAGACUGGUCACAGGUGGAGUUUCAUGCCUCUUAGUGCCACUAUGUACCACUCUAUGGCAACUUCUGGCUGCCACCACUAUGCUGGCACUCUGCACGGCAACAUUCUGGACUCUGAUCAACAUCUUGUUAGCUGAUCAGUUUGGAGAUGAAUCCAUGGCAACCACCUGGGGAUUCUUCAGGAUGACUCAGGGAGUCUGCAGUCUCUUCUACCCGGCCAUUAUAGGUAUGGUAUUAGACCAGAGUGGUGGUAUGGGAGUACCAUACAUGAUGAUGGGAGGAAUGUUGAUGCUGGGAGCAUCCAUCAUCUCACUGCAGCCUCUCAUAGCUACCAUCUCAGGCGCCAAGGUCAACAUUGAUUAAGAAGAUAGGAAGGAACAGCCCUACUGGACUAUGCCAGGCACCUCUUGACCUUUGACCCCGUCACAAUAAGAAGACUAGAGCACUGCAGUGGACCUACUGACCUAUGUUAGGCAGUUUUUUACACACUGGUUGUCAGUUAUGUAGUGUGGUAAUGACAGUUUAGGGUUGACAGUAUAAUACUUCAUGUAAUGUGCUGCCAUAGUUUACCUUCACGAUUAUGUUAAAUAAAUAAUAUUAAAGAA